UUAUUUUUAUUAUUUAUGUGGUUGCUAUUAUUUGGUGGUUGCUUUGAGUGAGACCGGUUUCUAUUUAGCCUUCAUUUCAUAUUCUUUCACUUAAGCCAUAGGUGGGCAUUAUGUUUUACAUGGGCUUUUGGCAUGUUCUCAUUUGAGGUAAUUAAAUUUACCUUAUUCCCAUUAGAGCCAUUGAGUUCCACAGGCUUGUCUUGGUUC
This 207-nucleotide long non-coding RNA is filed under the name Phoenix dactylifera (date palm). RNAcentral's name for it is "long non-coding RNA (PDAC_LNC005047)". Lineage: Eukaryota; Viridiplantae; Streptophyta; Magnoliopsida; Arecales; Arecaceae. The record is from RNAcentral.